Molecule: ribosomal RNA, 405 nt
Filed under: uncultured bacterium
Lineage: Bacteria
Description: bacterial SSU rRNA
Rfam family: Bacterial small subunit ribosomal RNA
Source: RNAcentral
GACGAACGCUGGCGGCGCGCCUAACACAUGCAAGUCGAACGGAGCUAUUUCGAUAGAUCUCUUCGGAGUGACAUUGGCUUAGCUUAGUGGCGAACGGGUGAGUAACACGUGAGGAACCUGCCUUUCAGAGGGGGACAACAGUUAGGAAACGACUGCUAAUACCGCAUAAGACCACGAUACGGCAUCGUAUUGAGGUCAAAGGAGCAAUCCGCUGAAAGAUGGCCUCGCGUCCGAUUAGCUAGAUGGUGAGGUAACGGCCCACCAUGGCGACGAUCGGUAGCCGGGACUGAGAGGUUGAUCGGCCACAUUGGGACUGAGACACGGGCCCAGGACUCCGUACGGGAGUCAGCAGGUCGGGGAAUAGUGCACAAUGGGAGGAAACUCUGAUGCAGCGACGCCGCGUGA